AGGACGAACGCUGGCGGCGUGCUUAACACAUGCAAGUGGAGCGACGAACCAGGGCUUGCCCUGGGGCAGAGCCGCGAACGGGUGAGUAACACGUGGGUAACGUGCCCCGAUGACUGGGACAACCCGGGGGAAACCCGGGCUAAUACCGGAUAUGCCCCCUCACGCGAGUGAGGUGUGUAAAGGAAGCUUCGGCCCCCGCAUCGGGAUCGGCCCGCGGCCCAUUAGCUUGUUGGUGAGGUAACGGCUCACCAAGGCUGCGAGUGGGUAGCUGGUCUGAGAGGACGAUCAGCCACACGUGGGACUGAGACCACGGCCCAGACCUCCGUACGGGAGCAGCGAGGUGGGAACUUCGUUGCGCAAGUCGACGACGAAAGCGUAGACGCAGCGAACGCCGGUCGGAGGGGGGAACGAAGGGUCCGUUU
RNAcentral lists this ribosomal RNA (422 nucleotides) under uncultured soil bacterium. RNAcentral describes it as "bacterial SSU rRNA". It matches the Rfam family "Bacterial small subunit ribosomal RNA", at positions 26 to 436 of the family's 1533-position model. The record is from RNAcentral.